RNAcentral lists this ribosomal RNA (524 nucleotides) under Microcerotermes sp. DED-2000. Its description in RNAcentral is "partial 16S ribosomal RNA". It matches the Rfam family "Bacterial large subunit ribosomal RNA", at positions 1831 to 2597 of the family's 2925-position model. Lineage: Eukaryota; Metazoa; Arthropoda; Insecta; Blattodea; Termitidae. The record is from RNAcentral.
CUUUUCUUGUUAGUUUUUGAAGUAUGGCCUGCCCACUGACGUUUAGAGGUUGAAGGGCCGCGGUAUUUUGACCGUGCAAAGGUAGCAUAAUCAUUAGUUCUUUAAUUGUGAUCUGGUAUGAAUGGCUUGACGAGACAUUAGCUGUCUUAAGGGUAUUUCUUUGUUGAAUUUAGUUUUUGAGUUAAAAUUCUUAGAUGUUUUUAUGGGACGAGAAGACCCUAUAGAGUUUGACACCUAUCUUUCUUUUGUGUUAGAGUGUUUGUUUAAUUGUUUUAAGUUGGUUAGGUGUUUUGUUGGGGUGAUGGGAGGAAUAAAACUUAACUCCUCUUUGAUUUUGUAUAUUUAUUUAUACUUGUUUUGAUCCAUUUAUUUUGAUUAUAAGAUUAAAUUACCUUAGGGAUAACAGCGUUAUCUUCCUUGAGAGUUCUUAUUGGCAGGGAGGUUUGCGACCUCGAUGUUGGAUUAAGGUGAAUUUUCGGUGCAGGAGCUGAGAGUGAUUAGGUCUGUUCGACCUUUAAAAUCUU